RNAcentral lists this ribosomal RNA (500 nucleotides) under uncultured bacterium. RNAcentral describes it as "partial 16S ribosomal RNA". It matches the Rfam family "Bacterial small subunit ribosomal RNA", at positions 28 to 523 of the family's 1533-position model. The record is from RNAcentral.
GAUGAACGCUAGCGGCAGGCUUAAUACAUGCAAGUCGUGGGGCAGCAUGAGUAGCAAUACUUGAUGGCGACCGGCAAACGGGUGCGGAACACGUACACAACCUUCCGAUAAGUGGGGAAUAGCCCAGAGAAAUUUGGAUUAAUACACCGUAACAUAUAGAGUAGGCAUCUUCUUUAUAUUAUAGCUUCGGCGCUUAUUGAUGGGUGUGCGUCUGAUUAGGUAGUUGGCGGGGUAACGGCCCACCAAGCCUACGAUCAGUAGCUGAUGUGAGAGCAUGAUCAGCCACACGGGCACUGAGACACGGGCCCGACUCCUACGGGAGGCAGCAGUAAGGAAUAUUGGACAAUGGGCGAAAGCCUGAUCCAGCCAUGCCGCGUGAAGGAUUAAGGUCCUCUGGAUUGUAAACUUCUUUUAUUUGGGACGAAAAAAGGGAAUUCUUUCCCACUUGACGGUACCAAGUGAAUAAGCACCGGCUAACUCCGUGCCAGCAGCCGCAGUAA